Molecule: long non-coding RNA, 420 nt
Filed under: Setaria viridis
Lineage: Eukaryota; Viridiplantae; Streptophyta; Magnoliopsida; Poales; Poaceae
Description: long non-coding RNA (SVIR_LNC000825)
Source: RNAcentral
UGGAUGGUGGGAGUAGUUGGAGUAGUGGAAUAAUUGAAUUAAUCAACUUAAUAUUCAAGAUGUAGUAUUAGAAGGAAAACACUUCACGCAUGUCCCAUUUGUUGUACAGCUCUGAUUCUACCGUUUGUUUAAUAGAAGUGAACCGCCCAAACUUCAAUAAUAUGCUUAUGGAUAGGAAAACGUUGUCUGAAAUAUUAGAAACAUAUAUACCUUGUAUACUGUUUGUGUACAUACAUAUGUCCAAAAAACAUAUGGUAUACGAGAUUAGACAUGCCAUAAUUACGUGACAUAAAUGUUAAGAUCCAAAUAAAAUGCUCCAUCAACUCCUAUCUAUUCCUUAACUUCUUCGUCGAUACCUUACGUAAGUGUUGCUAUUUACGUUCAUCUUUUGAAGACCCUGAUUCUAUUUGCCAAUCAAGC